Molecule: ribosomal RNA, 402 nt
Filed under: uncultured bacterium
Lineage: Bacteria
Description: bacterial SSU rRNA
Rfam family: Bacterial small subunit ribosomal RNA
Source: RNAcentral
GUUUGAUCCUGGCUCAGAAUCAACGCUGGCGGCGCGCUUAACACAUGCAAGUCGCACGAGAAAGGGAGCAAUCCUAAGUAAAGUGGCGUACGGGUGAGUAACACGUGGAUCAUCUACCUUUUAGUGGGGAAUACCUCCUGGAAACGGGAGACAAUACCGCAUAAGCUCGAGAGAGGAAAGCAGCAAUGCGCUGAAAGAGGAGUCCGCGGCUGAUUAGCUAGUUGGCGGGGUAAUGGCCCACCAAGGCGAAGAUCGGUAGCCGGCCUGAGAGGGCACACGGCCACACUGGCACUGAAACACGGGCCAGACUCCUACGGGAGGCAGCAGUGGGGAAUCUUGCACAAUGGAGGAAACUCUGAUGCAGCGACGCCGCGUGAGCGAUGAAGCCCUUCGGGGUGUAAA